UCCGACCCCCUCAGCCCCGAAGGCGCCGCCCGGCCGUUUCUCCAACGGCUGUGCCUCAACGGUCGGGAGGUCGCUCGCUCUGCCGCCCUCCGAGGCCCGGCUGACACCGCUGCUCCCCGCCACCCCCCGCCCCGCCCGGACGCCUGGCACAACCUGCCGGCCGAAGGAAGGCUCCGCGGGGAGCCCCGGCACCCGCCGCCGCCGCCGCUGCCACCCGGCGUCAGGUCUCCGCGGCUCCGCGAUCUCUGAGGCACCUCAAGCGGCCGCGGGAAGGCGGGAAGCACGCGUCCAAUCGGCGUCGCGUGCGGCCGGCGCUGCGUCUAAUCAGCGCCGCCGGCCCGGCAGCGCCCCGCCCCUCGCACCCGCGCCGGCGUCGGGGUCGCCCGAGGCGGAGCCAGGGGUGCUGAGAUGGGCGCGGCUCGGGGCCUCAGUGCUCUGUCUAUUGCUGAAAAUACCUGCUAGUUCCACUCGGUAACGUGUUUUCUGAAAGAUGACUGCUGGAACCUUUGACACUUAAGAAGACAUAAACAGAGUCACCUUUUAUCAUCAAAAAGGUAAUUGCAAAGGGCAUCCUUGCCUGAAAUUCUACAGAGUUGCCUAAAAAUUGAAAUAACUUAAGGCAGAAUUUCUUUAAAUGUGUAGGUAGUUCAAACCUAUACAGAAUGGCCUGAUAAAGUGCAGAUCAUAAUUAUCAAACACAUAACAAGAAAAAAUACAUUAAGUGAGAGGAGAGACUGCAGAAGGGAUAUCUUGCUAGUUACAAGUUUUAAACAUGUUCCUUCUUCUCGGCUGCUGGUGUAGGAGACACACAGCCUAACCAGGGCAGCCUGAACUCCCAGGAAUGGUUGUAUGAUGACGGAUGAAGCAUAAAUUUCUUGCCUAUUAAUAGUUUCCCGGCUGUUAGAAGCCUACAGAUAUUGGCAAGCAAAUGUGAUCUCGGGUUUUCCGUGUCCCGGGUCGGGAAUGCCUUGAGGGACCACGAUGGGGUCACACUGUGCAUGCUGUUUACAGUGAGCACAAACACACAACCGGACGUUUUCUUAGCUUACUAAAUCCAGAAUAUUCCCGAGAAGGCAUCCACUCAGGUAAAAGGUCCCAGCAUCACAAUGAUAACAGUAGCUGCAUUCACGGAGAUCCAAUUAGGACACAUGCAAAAGCCACAGGCUUUCCCAGCGGGGAGACGCAGGCCUUUCCAAGAACACCCUGGGAUGGGCCGACGCACCCAUGCAUCUACUCACCCAGCACCCCACCCCAGCACAGGCUCGGCCUUCUGGAACCUGAGACUACUUUUUAGACCAUAAACGUUGCAGGUGGGACAGGACAGGCCACUGCCAGCACACCUUGCAGCGGGAAGUGAGCUUCCAGGAGCUCGGGUUGGGGAAGGGGUGUGAGGGAGGAGCACCACCCGGAUGCCAGCGUGCUGCUAGGAAGUGCCCGCCGG
RNAcentral lists this long non-coding RNA (1441 nucleotides) under Sus scrofa (pig). RNAcentral describes it as "lncRNA (ENSSSCG00040011561.1)". Lineage: Eukaryota; Metazoa; Chordata; Mammalia; Artiodactyla; Suidae. The record is from RNAcentral.